GGCCAUGGCAACCAUAACUGUGGCCACCAUGAAGAUGCUGGGGUAGUCUGUCAAGGUUUGUAAUUUUCUGUCUUGCAGCCGACCAUACCUCCUGUAGGCACAACUGUGGCUACAACUUUGGCAGCUGCUCCUGCACAAGUUCCUGUCAGCGCUAUGGAAACUGCUGUCGUGACUACAACGAUUACUGCUACAGUACAACAACAGCAGAACCAGCCACAACAACGAACAUAACGGAUAUACCGGAUAUACGACUAGUUGGGGGCAACAGCUCCUGCUCUGGGAGAGUGGAGGUACAGGUCCGUGGCACCUGGGGCACUGUGUGCGAUGACAGCUGGGACAUACCUGAUGCUGAAGUGGUUUGCAGACAGGUGGGCUGUGGACCAGCCCUGAGCGCUCCAAUGAUGGCUCAUUUUGGACAGGGCAGUGGACAGAUCUGGCUGGAUGAUGUCAGCUGCACUGGCAAUGAGUCGUCUCUCUCUCAGUGCAGACAUAAUGGCCAUGGCAACCAUAACUGUGGCCACCAUGAAGAUGCUGGGGUAGUCUGUCAAGGUAAGGCU
Long non-coding RNA from Clupea harengus (Atlantic herring), 557 nucleotides. RefSeq lists it as uncharacterized. The record is from RefSeq and is a predicted model, not a curated record. Lineage: Eukaryota; Metazoa; Chordata; Actinopteri; Clupeiformes; Clupeidae. The transcript has 4 exons.